AUUGAACGCUGGCGGCGUGCCUAACACAUGCAAGUCGAGCGGUAACAGGUGUAGCAAUACAUGCUGACGAGCGGCGGACGGGUGAGUAACGCUUGGGGAAUCUGCCUAUUAGUGGGGGACAACCCGGGGAAACUCGGGCUAAUACCGCAUACGCACUACGGUGGAAAGCCGGGGACCGGCAAGGCCUGGCGCUAACAGAUGAGCCCAAGUCGGAUUAGCUAGUUGGUAGGGAACGGCCUACCAAGGCGACGAUCCGUAACUGGUCUGAGAGGACGACCAGUCACACCGGAACUGAGACACGGUCCGGACUCCUACGGGAGGCAGCAGUGGGGAAUAUUGGACAAUGGGCGAAAGCCUGAUCCAGCGACGCCGCGUGGGUGAAGAA
This 385-nucleotide ribosomal RNA is filed under the name uncultured bacterium. RNAcentral describes it as "bacterial SSU rRNA". It matches the Rfam family "Bacterial small subunit ribosomal RNA", at positions 29 to 412 of the family's 1533-position model. The record is from RNAcentral.